This 243-nucleotide ribosomal RNA is filed under the name uncultured bacterium. Its description in RNAcentral is "partial 16S ribosomal RNA". It matches the Rfam family "Bacterial small subunit ribosomal RNA", at positions 57 to 305 of the family's 1533-position model. The record is from RNAcentral.
GCAAGUCGAACGGUAACAGAACUAGCUUGCUAGUUGCUGACGAGUGGCGGACGGGUGAGUAAUACUUAGGGAUCUGCCUCUGUGUGGGGUUAACUAUUGGAAACGAUAGCUAAUACCGCAUAAUGUCUACGGACCAAAGAGGGCUUUGGCUCUCGCGCAGAGAGGAACCUAAGCGAGAUUAGCUUGUUGGUGAGGUAAAGGCUCACCAAGGCGACGAUCCCUAGCUGGUCUGAGAGGAUGAUC